UACGGGAGGCAGCAGUGGGGAAUAUUGCACAAUGGGGGAAACCCUGAUGCAGCCAUGCCGCGUGUGUGAAGAAGGCCUUCGGGUUGUAAAGCACUUUCAGUAGGGAGGAAGGUAGUGUAGUUAACACCUGCAUUAUUUGACGUUACCUACAGAAGAAGCACCGGCUAACUCCGUGCCAGCAGCCGCGGUAAUACGGAGGGUGCGAGCGUUAAUCGGAAUUACUGGGCGUAAAGCGCAUGCAGGCGGCCUGUUAAGUCAGAUGUGAAAGCCCGGGGCUUAACCUCGGAAUUGCAUUUGAAACUGGCAGGCUAGAGUCUUGUAGAGGGGGUAGAAUUUCAGGUGUAGCGGUGAAAUGCGUAGAGAUCUGAAGGAAUACCAGUGGCGAAGGCGGCCCCCUGGACAAAGACUGACGCUCAGAUGCGAAAGCGUGGGGAGCAAACAGGAUUAGAUACCCUGGUAG
Molecule: ribosomal RNA, 460 nt
Filed under: uncultured bacterium
Lineage: Bacteria
Description: bacterial SSU rRNA
Rfam family: Bacterial small subunit ribosomal RNA
Source: RNAcentral